This 496-nucleotide ribosomal RNA is filed under the name uncultured bacterium. Its description in RNAcentral is "partial 16S ribosomal RNA". It matches the Rfam family "Bacterial small subunit ribosomal RNA", at positions 28 to 506 of the family's 1533-position model. The record is from RNAcentral.
GAUGAACGCUGGCGGCGUGCCUAAUACAUGCAAGUCGAGCGAACAGAUGAGGAUCUUGCUCCUCUGACGUUAGCGGCGGACGGGUGAGUAACACGUGGAUAACCUACCUAUAAGACUGGGAUAACUUCGGGAAACCGGAGCUAAUACCAGAUAAUAUAUUGAACCGCAUUGUUCAAUAGUAAAAGACGGUUUUGCUGUCACUUAUAGAUGGAUCCGCGCCGCAUUAGCUAGUUGGUAAGGUAACGGCUUACCAAGGCAACGAUGCGUAGCCGACCUGAGAGGGUGAUCGGCCACACUGGAACUGAGACACGGUCCAGACUCCUACGGGAGGCCGCAGUAGGGAAUCUUCCGCAAUGGGCGAAAGCCUGAAGGAGGAACGCCGCGUGAGUGAUGAAGGUCUUCGGAUCGUAAAACUCUGUUAUUAGGGAAGAACAAAUGUGUAAGUAACUAUGCACGUCUUGACGGUACCUAAUCAGAAAGCCACGGCUAACUACGU